AAGCCCAGACUGGGAGAGAGCAAAGCACAAAUGACCUGGUUCCUUCAACAGGUGUGAUAAUGGUCUUGUCAUUACCUCUUCUAAUAAAAGGAUCCUUACGUCUUUGAGGUCCCAAGCACCUGGAGACCAUGGCAGCCUUCCCGAGGCCUCCAAGACCAAGGCCAGCGUCACUGGGUGGGGCUCUCAGAGCGGAGCCUGG
This is a long non-coding RNA of Lagenorhynchus albirostris (white-beaked dolphin), 199 nucleotides long. RefSeq lists it as uncharacterized. The record is from RefSeq and is a predicted model, not a curated record. The transcript has 3 exons. Lineage: Eukaryota; Metazoa; Chordata; Mammalia; Artiodactyla; Delphinidae.